AUGUGCGGCGGACGGCAACUUGCGGACGCCAAGGUUCCCGCGGUGACGCGGAAGGUGAUGGCGGCAACGCUGUGGAACGAGAAGAAGAAGCCCCGACGGAGCGACGGUGUGGGGCGGCACUUCACAGGGCUCGGUGGGCGCAGGCGACUCAGGCUAGACGACGACAAGGAGGACUUUGAUGCCGAGUUCAAGGAGUUUGAGGCCAACUCCGGGGACUCCGACUUGGAGCUGGGGCCUGGUGGGGUCGCUGAGAAGGAUGACGAGGAGGAGGUCGUCGAGAUCAAGCCCUUUGCCACCAUCAAGAGGCCCCUCUCCCAUGAUGACUCAAGCACCAUGAGUAUGACUUGUUUUGAUGGUCCUUCAGAAAGGCCAGCAAAAAGGAAGAGAAAGAACCAAUUCAAGGGUAUCCGCCAACGCCCCUUGGGUAAGUGGGCUGCUGAAAUCAGAGAUCCUAGCAAGGGUGUCCGUGUUUGGCUUGGUACUUUCAACAGUGCUGAAGAAGCCGCAAGAGCUUAUGAUGUUCAAGCACUCAGGAUCCAUGGCAAGAAGGCCAAGGUUAACUUUCCAGAGGAACCGGCAGUUCAGGAACCUAAAGCACCCAAGCCAAGCGCAACACAGGAACCUACCGUCACACCAGCAGUCAACAACCCUGCCAACACAAAUGCUUUCAUGUACCCAUCUGCUGACUUUGCAUCAAACCAACCACUUAUUCAGCUUGAUAACGUGCCAUUUGUUCCUACGAUGAACUAUGUUGCCCCUGUUGAAGCUCUUGCUAUGAACAUGUACUUUGGCGAGGGAAGCAACAGUUUUGGCUGGUCUGACUUGGGCUGGGAGUAUGACAUCAAGACUCCAUAUAUAUCAUCCAUGGCUCCCGUUUCCACUAUUGCUGAAGGAGCAGAAUGUGCGCCUGUUCACAGUAACACCUACAACUCAAUGGUGCCUCCUGUUAUGGAGAACGAUGUCGUCGACAACAUGGACCUUUGGAACUUUGAUGACAUGCCCAUCUGUGACGAAUUUUUCUGA
RNAcentral lists this ribosomal RNA (1023 nucleotides) under Triticum aestivum (bread wheat). RNAcentral's name for it is "partial small subunit ribosomal RNA". The record is from RNAcentral. Lineage: Eukaryota; Viridiplantae; Streptophyta; Magnoliopsida; Poales; Poaceae.